CUUCUGCUCAUUCAAUCCUGUUUAUUCUGUUUGAUAUAAGGAGCAGAACUUGACUAUUUAUUUGCAGCAAUCCAUUCUUAUUACUUUCCUGCAGGUGACACCUCAACUCUUAUCAGUUUUAAACUGUUGGGUAUAACUCCUUUCUCUGCCGUUCAUAAACUAAGGGGUUGGGUGUUGUAUCAGCAGUAAAAUGCUUUAAAUCAACCAGAAUGAAGAUAUAUAUCAAGCAGGAUUUAGCAGUUGUUCAGGAAAUUAAUCAUCCCUCAGUGUUUUAUGUGUGCAGACUGCCUCACUUCUGAUUUUAAACACACAGAAAACACUCUGUGCUUAUUAAACACCAUGCUGGCUCUGUGUUUCUUGGCUUCCCUGAAAGUUCAAAAGACUGUCAGUGGGACUACAGAGCAAGUUAGAUUGUCAUAUGCAUACUUGAUUAAUGAGUAUUUUCUAUUAAAUGUAAAUGAAUCUAGCUAAGAGGCCAGAAUUUUAGUUUGAUUUCAUUAAUGACAAGGUAUUGGUUUUGAUUCUGAUACCUUUUCCCACUUCCCCUUCUAAUCUAAUAAUCUACAAUUAAAUAAUUAACUAGAAAUGUGUUUUUGUUCUUUCUUUCACAAUAGUCACAAAUUCAUUUUGUCAUUUCUGCCUACGUGUGCUGAAAGAAAUGAAAAGUUGAGGUAAAAUAUGCAUGCGACGAAGUUUGGCAUUACUGGCAAUACUGUUAAUAACUGCAAAUGCAUAAAUUGGACUGGAAUAAAACUACCAGUAUUUCAGUCAUGCUUAAAAAAUAUGGGCUCCUUUUUCUUUUUUUCCGUAGAACUAAACUGUAAAAUGGAAAAUUAUCUCCCGCAGACGGCUCACGUAGCCUCCCCAGUAAGAAUAUGGAAAGUACACUUUUAAUUGGAGGAGUGAUUCAUUUCCAAGAGGCCGGGCUCUGCUCUUCAGUGGGAGGUGUGAAAGGAGCUGCUGGGAGCCAUGGCACCUGCCAGCAGGGCUGGCUCCUUGUGAUGCUGUAAGGGUAAUGGCUCUGACCUAAAGCUUGUGGGUUUGUGCCCUUUCAGAACAGUUCAUGUUUUAAAUGUUAGUUCUAGUGAUGUUGGGUACACUUGCAAAUAUCCAGUUCUGGCAGUUUCACUAAGUGUCUGCCUUCUGUUUCUUGCUGCAACUAGAUAGUGUAAUUACUGUAUGAACAGGAAUUUCUCUAUGAAACGGUUUUUCUGUUACCAGUUCUAAUUUAAUACCCUUUCAAUUGCAUUGUCCGCUGUGAUGUCCUGAGAAAGGUUGAAUAGAUGUUUGUGACCUACUUUCUGUGCUGUUCAUUAUGCUGUAUAUCUUUACCAUGUUGCCCCUUCAAGGGAGUUUGUUUUCUAGGGGAGAACAACUCCUCCUAUCUAUUUAUACACAUGCAUUUCCACUACUCUUUUCUAAAUCUUUGGCUAAAUUAAGAAGCUUUGGUCUCCAUAUUGCCAGUCCCCAAGGAGAAAACUUUCCUUUUCUGCUGUUUAUAAGAAAGCUCUUGUGGAGAGCUACUUUCCCCGGGGAAAUUUUCUCUUCCUUUUUUGUACUUCACUGACAAGAUACGUCAGUGUUAUGAGGUGGAGUACCUUGUUGUCACUGGGUUCUCCUCCAGAGACUUUGUGACUGUUCCUCUUGCCCUCUGGCAAGAUGAAGAUCUUUCCAAGAGGACAGAGGAAUGAGCAUUCCUAUAUUUAGAUACUAAAUUACUCAUGUGUGGUUGUCCUUCUGCCCUCAAAGUAAUAUUGGUAAUACCUAAAAAUCAUAGCAUGUGCUGACUUUUAAUUUUUUUCUUAUUUCAUGACUUUUAUUGAAGAAGGGUUAAGGGUACAUCAACUUUUUUUUUCCUGUUUUUUCAAACAACUUUUAGAAAAAGGACACUUGGAUCAGUCCUAGGCACUGUCUAAUGUUGAACUUGAUGUUUCAUCCACAGUAGCUAUUUGCUGUGCAUUCUUACUGGAUCUUUGGUGGAUAUCUCAAAUUUCAUAGCUUAGAGUUGCGUUCCAUUGUCUUUCCGUGGUAUACAAUAGCUGCUCUUUGCCAUACAGGACUUACUGGGGGCUUGCUGUGCGGAGUGAUGCUUCACUGGGGGAGAAAAGCUCUGGAAAGCAUGUGUUUUUUGCCUCUUGUGUAAAUUUGCAGCAUAGAACAAAAUGUGCUUAGGUUUGUAGGAUUAGGCACACAUGGAGUUAGGAGCAAGGACUUUCAUGCAUGUUUCCACAUGUUUUAUUGGGAAACGUUAAGAUGGUGAUGUUCAUCAUCUUUGCCUGAUCAUGUAUUGGACCUGAUAGUCUCUUAUCUCACAUUUGAGAUAGCUUGAAAGAACAAAGAUCUUAAAUCUGGCUGAGGGUUCAAAAGCGGAAUUUAUAUACAAAGGCAAAGAAGCUGCUUGCUUUCUAAAGGGCAAUCUGUAUGCAAAGGAGAAAUGGAUAUUAUUUUUCCAUUCAAAAAAUAUUGAGAGAGGGAGGGAGGUACCUGGUAUAUCUUAAUUUAGCAUCUUAAUGAUAUUCUGACUGGCUACAUGUGUGAAAUGGAAUCAAAAGACUCAAAAAAAAACUCUAGACAAAAAAUAUUUUAAAAAUACCAUCCAUCUAGAGUGCCUUCCAGGAAACUAUGGGUAAGCUGAUCACAAGGGGAAAUGACUUCUAGGCUGUCAUUAGGUACUUGUAUUUUCCUAAAGUCAGAGCCUGGGACUAGGAAGAAUGUUAAGCCCUUAAAAGUUUCUGCCUGAAAAAGGUAUUUUGAGAUGUCAAGAUGUACCAAAGUAAUGAACUGCAGAUGCCUACUGCUUUACAGAUGAUGGAGUGUGAGGCUGCAGGGGCUCUGUAAGAUGCCUGCCUUGCAGAUGUUCACAGAAUAAAAGACUGACUUAGGUUGGAAGGGACCUUGCAGACUAUCUAGUUCCAACCUCACUGCUAUGGACAGGGCUGCCACCCACCAGCUCAGGCUGCCCAGGGGCCCCUCCAGCCUGGCCUUGAAUGUCUCUGAGGAUGGGACAUCCUCAGUGUCUCUGGGCAGCCUGUGCCAGUGCCUCAUCACCCUCUGAGUAAAGAAUUUCCUUCUAACAUCUAAUCUAAGUCUCUUCUCUCUUAGCUUAAUAACCAUUAAAAACCAUUUGCCCUUGUUCUGUCACUAUCAGACCAUGUAAAAAGUUUUUCUCCCUCUUGCUUAUAAGCUUCCUUUACAACUGGCAGGCCGCAAUGAGGUUUGCCUUGAGCUUUCUCUUCUCCAAGCUAAACAAACCCAGCUCCCCCAAACUUUCUUCAUAAGAGAUACGUUCUGGCCUUCUCUUAUGAAUAUAUGGGUAGUCAUGUACAUUCAUGCUCACCAACUGGCUCAGGUACACUACAGUGCAGCUGUGGAGGAAGGCAGAUGUAUAAGAUGGGUAGGUGUUCAUAAAUCUGUGAAAGAAAAUGAAUGAAAUAUGCACAGGUCUUUUGUGACCCUUCCUUCCUGCUGAUGCUGUGCUUGUGUGAGAAUAUGGAAAAUCAAUCUGGAAGCAGUUCGAGGUCAUUUUUAGCAACACAAUGGUUGCAAGCCCUGAAAGAAGGAUAUCCUGUACACAGCCUGCUGGUGGCCCCUGAGUAGUUGUCCCCAUGCACAACUCCAAACAUGAGCCUGCAUGUUAAUACAUUUAGUAAGUGGUUUUGCUCUUCUGGGUCUAUGCUGAAUGAGAAAGCAGCAGCUCACGCAGGGAGGAGAGGCAGGUGUGAUGGAAAGAUAUCAUGGUUUGUGACUGCAAGCAGUACAAGGUAUCCUCUGCCCUGUAAUCAUGACAGUCUGCUGAGAAAUGAGUUGUAGUGCAGAGAUCUCAUUGGAAAUCAGGUGAAAUGUGGAUUUUGUGCUGCGGGGAAUGCAGCUACAGGGCUGUCACUUCAAUAACCUUCCACAAAAGAGACUGGAGGAAAAGUCAGAGAUGCAGCUCAACCCCCAGCUGUAAUGAGUUUCUCUAAUGGUUGUGAAAUGUUUCAUCUGUCUUCCUACUCCUGCAUGGGGAGUGAUACUGUCAGUGCUGGUUCCUCUUUUUCCAUCCUGCCAUAUUUUGAAACCAGACAAAUAUUUUUAGAAACUAAUUUUCCCUUGCAUUCUUUGUGAAUGCAGCCCAUCCCUUUUGCAACCAGGACCUGUGUUUAUAUGCACUGGAGUCCUUUGUUUUUAUAGAGCUGUGGAAGAUAACCUUGGGAGGAGGGAGCUGAAAUCAAGUGGGUCUUGUUUAGUUCUACUUUACUGCUGUCUUUGUUUUGCUUCCUGCAGAAGACUGGACUUCUGAAAUCUGAAAAAGCUGAAGCUCGUUGGGAAGGAACACACUUCCCCACUUAUGGGGUAGCAUUUUACAGUGAGACUUUCAUGAAUAUACAAGUACAUAAUUGCAUGUAUGGGAGUGAAAAAAAAACAAUGGUUAGUCUGAGAAAAGCUGGGAGUCUGAUGUGAGAAACUGUUGAUGUUACUGGCUCCUUCCACAUCCCCUCAGAAGCACAGCAGGCUGUUGCUAAGGGUCCAGGGAGGUUCUGUCCUGUCUGUCCUUUUUGACCUCAGCACGUUAAGGUGUCUGCAGGGUCAGCCUUGAGGUACAGGGAAUGAUAUAUUGAUGAUGUUCAUCAUACUUUUCUCACUCUUCUGUAUCUUCUAACUCAACAUGGGCGCCAAUAAUCCCUAAAUAAAUGAGACUGAGACCUUAAACUGAACAUCUGUGCACUUGCUGGUUGUUCUGUAAGAUAUACCUAUCUCAUUCAUGAAAUAGGUUUUCUCUGUAUUUCAUCUGCUUUGGUAAUGAGCUGUAUAGUGCCAUUUGCCUUGGAUGAUGUGCCAGUUGCUGAGCAGUCAAAAAUAUGUGCAGUUCUGAACAGGGUACACAGAAACACGGACAUAAUCUCCAAAAUCUGAUUUGUGUGCUGGCAUAUUUGGUUUCAGUCUCUGAACCUGAAUGUUAUUGUUGCUUCUUGGGUAGUAAUUAUAUCCCAUGUAUUUCAGAAGUUACAGUCCUUUUGGACCAAAUGAGUUUUAUGCAAGUUCAGCAGUGGGCUAAAAGGUCAAACUAAUUAUUGGCAAGUGUGAAUUGAGUUUAAAUGUCUAAUGUGGCUGACUGGAGGAAUGAGUGUUAAUAAAAACUGCUCUUGGGAAGAAUUUACAAAUUUGAUUGAAAGAAUUAAUGUGUUGUAGACAGAACUUUAGUUUGAAGUCGAGUGUUAAUUGCAAUACUUCAGCUAAAUCAAAAGACAGAGGAAGGACACUUUGUUCAGUGCUGGAAGACAUUCCACCGAAGUACUAAAUGAGAGCUAUGAGGAACUUGGACUUUUUUUUUCCCAAAGAAACAUCAGUAGCUUUCAGUUUGUUUUGGAAAUUAAGAGAAGACCUUUUAGAGCUGAUAGAAACAGCAGAAAGGUUUAACUUGGCUUAAGGUUUCGUUUCAGAAAGAAAAUGAGGAUACUGGUGUCACAAUGCUCUGCUCUUGAUGAUGUAACUAGUUUAAAGGAACAAUAACCUAAACUGAAACUGUAGUGAUCGAAGAGGAGGAGGAGGAAAAGAAGAACAACUAUGCAACAACAAGCUUAUGCUGAAUGGUUGGCAUGACUGACUUCCUUUCAGAGGUUUUCACCGCCCUUCUAGAAUCUUGAUUCAGAAUAGUCUGCAGGAUCUCAUGCUGAACUUCUCUCAUAAUUGUAUGCACAGUUACUUCUAAGAGCUUGUGGGAAUGCAAGUUGGUUUGUGCAAGUUACAAGCACAGAGGAUGCACAGAAGAAAAUGCUGGCUGGGCUACUGCAGGGUAGAAGGCAGAAAGCAGCUGGAGAAAAUGAUUACUGAGACAUUUAAAAUGGUAAUUGCAGAGAUGAAACAGGACUAGACUUUGGGGGGGGGGAGGAAUAUGAAAGAUUUGGUGGUUGUCAUAAAAUUCUGUUCCACUCUGAGCUAAAAAGGAGUUAGAUGAAUAUUUAGGCAUGGUUAACUUGUCUAAACUGAUUGUUGAACACAAUUUCCAUAAUGGAGAAGGAAUUGAAGAAAAGACUGAAAGAUUUAAAAGAAGUGGCUCUUCCAAGUAUAUUAGGCAUACAUAUAAAUCCUAUAAAAAGUUAAAUGAUGGGUGCUUUUACUUCAUGAGAUAAAAAUGUAGCCUAUAACCCUGAAUAAUGCUUUCUGUCAAAUUAUUUAAAAAUUAGAUGUCCAUUAGAAUUCAAAAUCGCUUUGCUUUGGGGAGCUAUUAGGAAAAUCUUAACUGUUCCAGGUACAUAGCAGGAGAAAGCAGCUAAUAACUGGUUCAGGUAGGUCGUACAGAAGGAUUAUGAUUUGAGAUAAGUGGUUUUAAGGAUGAGCACAUACAUGGAUGUGAUAAUUGGUCUUGGUUGGCAGCCUACCCAGCUGCUCUCACUCCUCUCCUCUACAAGACAGGGUGGGAAUGUGGGAUGGAAAAGCUUAUGUGUUGAGAUAAAGACAGGGAAAUCACUUACUUGUUACUGUCAGAAGCAAAACAGGGUUUGGCUGGAGAAACUUAAUUUAUUGCCAAUUAAAAUCUCAACACAAAGGUGAGAAACAGAGGUAAGAGCUGAAACGCCUUCCUUAACCUCCUCCCCCCUCUUCAUUCCCUGAGUUCAUUUUUGUUCCUUCAUUACUGCCACUGCUCUCUCCUGCUGCUGACCAGCACAGGAGGAUGAGGAUGGGAAUGGAGCUUGUGGUCAGUCCAGAACAGCUCCUUGCUGCCACUCUGAAACUCAAAGUGCUUAGCAGUUUUCAUUUGGUUUUUUUUGCUUUUAUGAAAGACUUGUUGAGAUUUUUUUUUUCCCCAAAGUAAAGCAUUCAGAGAGAUUGUGAGCAAGUGUGAAGUGCUUGUGGCCAUGUACUCAAUCUUGUACAGGUGUAAGUGUCUCUCAACUCUUACCAAGCCCUUCCCAAACGAACUGCAAUUGCAUGACUGUCUCCUCAUGAAAUGUAUGUGAGACUUCAAGCAGCAUGUGAAAGAAAAGCUGCAGCCCCAAUUAAAAAAACCCUUACAUUAUUUACUUUUCUCUCCACCAGAAACAGACCUUCACACCUGUGAGCUUCUUUGGGGAGUCACUAUAUUUGGCCUCUUGCUGCUAGAAAAUGCCAUUAAUUCGGGAUCAGAGUUUCUGUGGAAAAGGCCUGUGAGCUUCCAAUUACAACAGAGUGUUCCAGCUGGAGCAGCUCUGCAGAACGUGUCUUUUUUAGAGUGGUAGUGGAGGGAAGUCCUGGGUUUUGGUCAGAAUGCCAAGCCUAUGCUUUUUGUGUUAGUCAUUUUGAGGAAUAAAAAUGAAAGAUCCUUUUUCAAGCACAUCUGCCAGAGCCAGGAAGCCAUAUAUUGCUCAUGCACGCUUUCAUUCAGUCACAUCACCAAAAGCAAAGCUUGUUAGAGGUUGCUUGCAGAGUUAAACCCUUGGAGGGGGAGUCCUGCUCUUCUACCUUGUGUAGAAUCUUCAGCAGUUCGGGCAGUAUGCAGCUAUAAACUAGGAACCUAAAGAAAUCAAUUUGGCAAAAAAAACUUUUUAAAUCAGUACAGGUGAAGUUUGAGUUUCCACUAAAAAACAAGAACUUGAGCAGAAAUUCUGUUGUAAAUCAGCUCACACACCUGCUAUCUUAUUCUGUUGGUUGGUGCUUGAGGAAUCCAGGCUGUUGGUUCUUUGUGCUGAGUGCUAAUACACAUUCUCUGUUACAAAGCAUGUUACUUAAGCCUGUGGCUUUCUUGUUACCUCGUACUGCUUUCCUUGUGUAGACUAUUUAAUGGAAGAGCAAGUUAUUGGAGAAAUAUUUCCUUGUAGUUGCUUGAAUGAGUAUUAUUUACGUAUUAUUUCAUUACUUGCAUAAUCAUCUUGCUUUGCCAGUGUAUAAAUUUGUGGAACAGAUGUUAUGAUACAGAUGCAGACUGAUGGGCCCAAAUUCUGUCUACGCCCUUUGAACACUAAUUCUUUCAUUAUGUAUUCAUGUCUACAACUGAUAAGAAAAGCUUGAAAGGGAAUGUUCUUACACUUGUUAUAUAUUGGAUUUGAACAAUCAAAACACAUGAAGUUUUUCAUUCUAACUGAAACUUCUUCUGUAAAGCUCAGAUCUAAAUGAGGAUGCAGAUCUUCUCAGUGCCACAGGAAGUUGUUGGAAGCAUUUACUAGUACAAAAAAAGCCCACCCACCAAAUCCAUUAAUGUGUUGAAGGCUGCUCUUCGGGCUUCCUGUCUCAGGUGGGUCUGGCCAUGUAAAGGUUUCUGCUCUGCUGAUCAUGAGAACAAGGAGCUUACUGAAUAAUGGUACUUCUUGGACUUGCUCUAAAAUGACUUCAACUAGUUAGCUGGGACCUUAGCUGAUGCCUCCGGUAGGCUAAUCCUGUAUUUUGCAUUAAAAUGUUGCUCUGCUCUAAGGAAAGACAAUAGCAAAAAUAUUACUUUAAGUGUUUACUUAAAAUGCAGUAAGUAAAAUGAAUGCAUUCUUGUCACCUGAAGUAAUCACUGUACUUCAGGCAGUUUGAGUUAGCACUGAUAAAUUUAUAGUGAAAAGUCUUUCUUUCUACAGGAUGAUUUCAUUGGAGAAGAGUAAUAACUGAGCUGUUAUGCGGCCUGAUGCAGUCUUACUGACUGAAUUUAAGCCUCCUGAUCAGACUAUAGUCAGAAGUUUGUAUCUGAUUACUAUAUGCUCAAAAGAAGGGAAAAACCGAGCUAAUGUUGGGAGUGUAGUACAGGAAUACUUCUGUGACUUACAGAAAUUGCUUUGGUUUUGGCAGGAUUUAUUGCUCUCAGCUGAGCAUUAGCCACACAGGACCCAAAGUGAUUCAAAUCCUAACAAGUGUGCCUGCAGUGCUUGGGUUCUGCUUGGGUUCAGUAAAUGCAUAGGGCCAGCAGGGACCUGGCAUGGUGCCCCGGUGGAUAACCCCCCUGUCCCUCCUCUCCUCCCCCCCAGCCCUUAGCAUCCACAGUGCUGCUGGUGGAGGCAGCACAGAGCCUUUCUGAAGCUCCUGUUCCUUGCAGCUUGCCAGUCUUGGCUGCACUCAAAUGAAACAUGAGGAGCAGAGGGAUGCUACGGCACAUAGUUCCCAACUGUGACAAUUUCAGGGUUACAGUCUUAAUACUUAAAACACAGAAUCUGGCCUGGUUCUGUGUAAAACUGCCUCAGCCUUACAGCCAGAGCAGGUAGAGACUUUUUCAGUUCCAUGCUGGUACUGGGAGUGAUAGAGGUGUUCAGCCAUUCUUGUCUCUGCCUCCCUUGCAAUUAGUGCUGCAUAAUAGAAUGCUUGAAAGCUGGCUGCGUUUUUGAAGUUCUCUGAGUUUUUGAAGAAAGCUGAUGGAAAGGUUAGAGACUUGAAGUCAUCAGUGGCUCUGCUUGCUAUUUAAUUCUGUAUGAUGAAUCCUAAAACACUUAAUUUUAUGACUACCAGUGUUUUUCCUCUGCACAUUUGUCUUAAAACGUUCUCGCUGUGUCCAUGGACCUUCUGCUGGAAUUUGAAACAAGGCACUUCUAUGCAGAAUUCAUUGUAAAAUAAACAUUAAAAUUCUAAAGCAAUGCUCAUAUCCUACCAUUCUUCAUUAUUUGUAUUACGGUUGGUUUAACUGCUGCUGGUAGGUGUCUUGUGAUGAAUGCAUUCAGACUAGCUCUUCUAUAUAAUUUUCUCAUACAGCAUUUGAAACAAAUUAAGACUACAUACUGAAAAUUAUUUUAUUAUAAUUAUGAUGCACUCAUUUCAAGAAAAGCAUA
Molecule: long non-coding RNA, 9692 nt
Filed under: Gallus gallus (chicken)
Lineage: Eukaryota; Metazoa; Chordata; Aves; Galliformes; Phasianidae
Source: RNAcentral